CCUACGGGAGGCAGCAGUGGGGAAUAUUGGGCAAUGGGCGCAAGCCUGACCCAGCAACGCCGCGUGAAGGAAGAAGGCUUUCGGGUUGUAAACUUCUUUUCUCAGGGACGAAGAAAGUGACGGUACCUGAGGAAUAAGCCACGGCUAACUACGUGCCAGCAGCCGCGGUAAUACGUAGGUGGCAAGCGUUAUCCGGAUUUAUUGGGUGUAAAGGGCGUGUAGGCGGGAGCGCAAGUCAGAUGUGAAAACUCAGGGCUCAACCCUGAGCCUGCAUUUGAAACUGUGUUUCUUGAGUGCAGGAGGGGCAGGCGGAAUUCCUGGUGUAGCGGUGAAAUGCGUAGAUAUCAGGAGGAACACCGGUGGCGAAGGCGGCCUGCUGGACUGCAACUGACGUUGAGGCCCGAAAGCGUGGGGAGCAAACAGGAUUAGAUACCCCUGUAGUC
Molecule: ribosomal RNA, 443 nt
Filed under: uncultured bacterium
Lineage: Bacteria
Description: partial 16S ribosomal RNA
Rfam family: Bacterial small subunit ribosomal RNA
Source: RNAcentral